This 253-nucleotide ribosomal RNA is filed under the name uncultured bacterium. RNAcentral describes it as "partial 16S ribosomal RNA". It matches the Rfam family "Bacterial small subunit ribosomal RNA", at positions 524 to 776 of the family's 1533-position model. The record is from RNAcentral.
UACAGAGGGGGCAAGCGUUAUUCGGAAUUAUUGGGCGUAAAGGGCGCGUAGGCGGCUUUGCAAGUGGCGGGUGAAAGCCCACGGCUCAACCGUGGAGGGUCAUUGGAAACUGGGGGACUUGAGUACAGAAGAGAAGAGUGGAAUUCCACGUGUAGCGGUGAAAUGCGUAGAGAUGUGGAGGAACACCAGUGGCGAAGGCGACUCUUUGGUCUGUAACUGACGCUGAGGCGCGAAAGCGUGGGGAGCAAACAGG